GGGUUGUGGUUCAGUGGUAGAGCACUUGCCUGGCAUGUGUGAGGCACUGGGUUUGAUCCCCAGCCCCA
This 68-nucleotide transfer RNA is filed under the name Marmota monax (woodchuck). Its description in RNAcentral is "tRNA.Ala". It matches the Rfam family "tRNA". From Rfam's summary of the family: Transfer RNA (tRNA) molecules are approximately 80 nucleotides in length. Lineage: Eukaryota; Metazoa; Chordata; Mammalia; Rodentia; Sciuridae. The record is from RNAcentral.